This 332-nucleotide ribosomal RNA is filed under the name uncultured bacterium. Its description in RNAcentral is "bacterial SSU rRNA". It matches the Rfam family "Bacterial small subunit ribosomal RNA", at positions 568 to 898 of the family's 1533-position model. The record is from RNAcentral.
AACGCAGGUGGUUUGGUAAGUCAGGGGUGAAAGUCCACAGCUUAACUGUGGCACUGCCUUUGAUACUACCUUUCUUGAGUGCAUGAGGGGGAAGCGGAAUUCCGAGUGUAGAGGUGAAAUUCGUAGAUAUUCGGAGGAACACCGGUGGCGAAGGCGGCUUCCUGGCAUGUAACUGACACUCAUGCUCGAAAGCGUGGGGAGCAAACAGGAUUAGAUACCCUGGUAGUCCACGCCCUAAACGAUGGGCACUAGGUGUGGGAGGUAUCGACCCCUUCCGUGCCGCAGCUAACGCAUUAAGUGCCCCGCCUGGGGAGUACGGCCGCAAGGUUGAA